Molecule: transfer RNA, 74 nt
Filed under: Candidatus Vogelbacteria bacterium
Lineage: Bacteria; Candidatus Vogeliibacteriota
Description: tRNA-Ala
Rfam family: tRNA
About the family: Transfer RNA (tRNA) molecules are approximately 80 nucleotides in length. Their secondary structure includes four short double-helical elements and three loops (D, anti-codon, and T loops). Further hydrogen bonds mediate the characteristic L-shaped molecular structure. tRNAs have two regions of fundamental functional importance: the anti-codon, which is responsible for specific mRNA codon recognition, and the 3' end, to which the tRNAs corresponding amino acid is attached (by aminoacyl-tRNA synthetases). tRNAs cope with the degeneracy of the genetic code in two manners: having more than one tRNA (with a specific anti-codon) for a particular amino acid; and 'wobble' base-pairing, i.e. permitting non-standard base-pairing at the 3rd anti-codon position.
Source: RNAcentral
GGGCCUAUAGUUCAGCGGUAGAAUGCGUCCAUGGCAUGGACGAGGUCAGGGUUCGACUCCCUGUAGGUCCACCA